This 255-nucleotide ribosomal RNA is filed under the name uncultured bacterium. Its description in RNAcentral is "partial 16S ribosomal RNA". It matches the Rfam family "Bacterial small subunit ribosomal RNA", at positions 99 to 354 of the family's 1533-position model. The record is from RNAcentral.
CGAACGGGUGAGUAACACGUGAGCAACCUGCCCUAUACAACGGGAUAGCACAGAGAAAUUUGUGCUAAUACGGUAUAAGACCACAGUAUCGCAUGAUACAGGGGUAAAAGAUUUAUCGGUAUAGGAUGGGCUCGCGACCCAUUAGCUAGUUGGUGAGGUAACGGCCCACCAAGGCAACGAUGGGUAGCCGACCUGAGAGGGUGAUCGGCCACACUGGGACUGAGACACGGCCCAGACUCCUACGGGAGGCAGCAG